CUUCUCCUCUCACUCUUUACUCCCCCUUUAGGUUUCCGUAGCCUUUGUGAGAGGGACCAAGGCAAUGUCUCCGAAAACGUUCUCUAUAAGGCUGCCAUAAAGGUUGUUGACAUUUUCACCGUCAUGGCCGUCCCCCGGAAGACAUUCUAGAAACCCUAGGAGACUUCACAAGCAAAGAGAACUGGGACAAGUUCUUCACCCUUCGCGGCGAUUCCUUCGAGUGGUAUGUUGAAUGGCCCAACCUCAGGGGCCCACUCCUCUCCCUCCCCAAAACCGUUCCUCUCCCGCUUCAGCUCCUCGUCCCCGGCUGUGGCAACUCUCGCCUCUCUGAGCACCUCCACGACGCCGGCCACACCGCCAUCACCAACAUCGACUUCUCCAAGAUCGUCAUCUCCAACAUGCUCUGCCGCAACAUCCGUGACCGUCCCCUCAUGCGAUGGCACAUCAUGGACAUGACUGCCAUGCAGUUCAAGGAUGAGAGCUUCGGUGCGGUUAUUGACAUAGGUGGACUGGAUGCUUUGAUGGAGCCCGAACUUGGCCCCAAAUUGGGGAACCAGUACUUAUCAGAGGUGAAGAGAGUUUUAAAGCUUGGGGCCAAGUUUGUGUGCCUUACCUUGGCUGAAUCUCAUGUACUAAAUGGAAAGGAAUGAAAUUGAGGCUGAACUUGAAAAUAGCAGGAAGUCUUUAACUGAUUAAAUGAUGCCUGAUGCUUCAUAUAUUCAGAAAAAGGAUUCUAGCAUUCUUGGUGAUGUGAGCCAAAACUUCAUAGCAAUAUGCGCUUUGUAGCUGAACCACUUCCUUAUAGCUCAAGAAGAAGAGAUGAGUCAGAGUUCAAUUUGAGAGGAUGGGCAGUGAAAGCUUGAAUCAGCCAUGAGGUAACCAACUGCAGAAGGAAAUGCAUAAUGUUUCUCAAAAUCCUGGUACAAAUGAUGGUAGGGCAUAUGUUACAAAAGGAAAAGUAGCAGGAGCUAUGCAUAAAAAGCAACCAAAGCCUUCAUAUGAUGCAAAGUCAGAGGCUGCCCAAGUGGUGAAUGGUUGCAAUGGAUACAGUGUAUACUCAGGACCGGCACCAGUCUCUGGAUAUAGUUCUAGGUAUUACUGCUACUUGUAGUGGUUUGAUGCUAAGGGCAGUAUGCUGGUUAUAAUUGGAGGAAAUGCAAAGGUAUCAUGCUGGCAGCUGCACUAGUGCAGUUAAUAACAGUGCGGUUACUGUAGUACAUGUGAUUAAGGUACUACAUAUUUCAAAUAAAUGUCGUCGUGAUACAGCUUGUGCUUCAGUCCCUGAUAGCUAGUAGCUUUUUUUCUUACAACAACGAUUGAUUUUAUAUACUUGACGGCAUUUUGAAACUUGAAAAACUCUACUUUAAACCCGGUUCAUUUAUAUGUUCUUAUGCAUUUAAAUGAUUGAGAUAUUACAAGGAGUUUUAUCUAUUGUAACCAACUAAACAUUUCCUCCCUUUUCAAAUUAGAGAAUUGGUAAAUAAAGGGUUGAAAAGUAUCUAUUUCUUUGAUUAUGUUGGUUCUGAAUAAUGGUUUAUGUUUCAAAUCUAUUUUGAUAUUCUAUCCUAAUAUACUUCAAAACAGUGGCAUACUUAUUCACUAAUCACUAGAGAUUGUUAUACUAUAAUUUGUAAGAACUGUUCAAAACUUUAAAUAUUUAUCCUUCUGGCUGUGUUGACUAAAUAAGUGAAGUAAAUGGGUCUUUUGCUUCUGCUUCUUGGUUUUAUCUUGCCUCCCAGUGAUGGUAUUGGUGUUGUUGUUGAUGCUUCUGUGUUUCACGAGUCGUUUCUUGCUGGCAGUAUUGAGAUCAUCAGGGUUAAAGGAAAUAACAACGAAAGCCAACAAGAAGACUUUGAGCUACCUUUUUAUGACUUUUCCUCAAUAUUAAAUUCCGCAAAUAGCUUCUAAGAUCACGAUAAGCUUGGCAAAAGUAGUUUUGGGCCUGUGUACAGGGGAACACUACAACAUGGACAAGAGAUUGCUGCUAAGAGGCUUUCACAAACAUAUGGACAAGGUUUAAAAGAAUUUAACAAUGAGGUUAUGUUAUGCGCCGAACUUCAACAUCAAAAUCUUGUUGAAUUUCUUGGAUGUUGCAUUAAAGAAGAUGAGAAAUUGCUAAGAUAUGAAUAUAUGGCGAACAGAAGCUUAGACUUCUUUCUUUUUGGUUAGUGUCUGUAUAUCUACUUGUUAAUUGAAUGAAGAAUUUCAUUCCUAUGGUUCUUGCAAGAUUAAAGAAGAUAAACAUGACAUUUGACAGAUUCUAACCGAACUAAACUUUUUGACUGGCCUAAGCGUUUGUACAUUAUAAAUGAAGUUGCUCGUGGACUACUUCAUCUCCAUGAAGACUCAAGACUAAGGAUCGUACACAAAGAUCUUAAG
Long non-coding RNA from Glycine soja, 2379 nucleotides. RefSeq lists it as uncharacterized. The record is from RefSeq and is a predicted model, not a curated record. The transcript has 8 exons. Lineage: Eukaryota; Viridiplantae; Streptophyta; Magnoliopsida; Fabales; Fabaceae.